RNAcentral lists this long non-coding RNA (2228 nucleotides) under Triticum aestivum (bread wheat). RNAcentral describes it as "long non-coding RNA (TAES_LNC012647)". The stretch from base 1517 to 1640 matches the Rfam family "MIR1120/MIR1122 microRNA precursor family". Lineage: Eukaryota; Viridiplantae; Streptophyta; Magnoliopsida; Poales; Poaceae. The record is from RNAcentral.
AUCGUCUCUAAUCCAACGGUAGCAGGAUGGUUCCAUCUCUCCUGUUUUUCCCCGCCCACGAGGAGCCGAGCAUUUAUUCUCCUCUUUCUUCGCCGAGCAUCCCGCCUGUCGAUCCUUCCAGAGCCUCCCAGUCCCAGCGCCUUCCUUUCUCCAUCCCCUAAUCCACAUCUCCCUUCUCCCAGCAACUAACUUCCUCCAUCCCCUCACCGAAGGCAAGCACAUCCCCAACGAGUCCACGACGCCCAGGCCGCCAUCGAACCGGUUGUGGUUGCCGCGCUGGGCCGCUGAGGUGUCUGCAUCGACCGGUCGCCGGGGAGCAGUGCCGUGCCGGACGCUGCCACCGAAGGCCAAGCGAUGCGACGGCGGACGGGGUCUACGGCGCCAGCGGGAUGGCUUCCCGUUCAGCCGCGACCAGUGUCCGUGUAGCUGCAGCGCGCUUGCCGCGUAUGGCGCCUCGACGACGGCCUCAUCCAUAUAGGCGGCGACGCCCCUGAAGGUCAAUUUAGCGCCGGUGCCGGUGCCGGUGCCGUUGAUGUGUCCUGUGCCCAAAUCGCUACACGGCGCGAGCGGCUCCCUCGUGGGCGUGCCGAACCGAGGGAACGACGAAGGGAUCGCGGACUAGGAUGGGCUUGGCGCGACAGAAUACCUGACGGGCAUGCUCAAGGUCGCCAGGGUAAUGGGUACUGCGGCGGCGAUGUGCUGUUUGAGGAGCGUGAAUCCAGGGGCACAAUACGCGGCAAGAUCCCAUCCUAGCAUCCUUCCGUGCUGGAAGAUGAUGGCUGGUAGUGGAUCGGGUGGAUAUAUAUUUUUUGUCGCUAGAGGAUCGAGUGGAUCUUAGCCUGAUAAGCUCGGCGCCUAGAUAUCAUACUCUUUUUUUUUGCAAAAAACCGUGAUACUGUACUCUGCUUGCAUAUGAAUAUGACUACACUUUAUCAAAAAAAAAUCAAUGAGCUUGACUUGGCUGUAAUUUGUGUUUGUUUAAUUUUUAAUUUAAUGAUAUGAGCAGAAAUCUUAAAAAAUGUAUUUGUUUCAAAUGUUAACAAACAAAAAAUAAUAGGUAUUGAACGUCAAAAUAAAAUAAAAAUAGUAGGUAUUGGUCUAGACUAUAAUUAGUGGGCUAAAGAUUUCUAAUGAAAUUGAUGGGGCAAAAUAUUAAUUGGGCCACAACUACAACGAGUGGGCUAAGAUUUUAGCUGGGCUGAUGAUCACAUGGGCCGGAACUAAAAGAAUGGGCUAGAAUCCUAUAUGGGCUGACUACCAGAUGGGCCGCCAUGUCGGAUGAUGACGUGGCAUGCACGUUAACGUCCUUAUUAGCACGUCUGUUAAGUGCCAUCUGUGACGGUCAAGAGCCGUCAUGGAUCCAUGACGGUAUUGGAAGAUCCGUCACCGAGCGCAUGGUGGUCAAAUUAUGACGCGAUAUACAUGACAGAUUUUAAAUCCGUCACGCAUGGCCAUCCAUGAUGGUUUUGUGCCCGUCCACGACAGUUGGAAUCCGUCAUGUAUUAACAGAUUUCUUGUAGUGUUCCUCCGUCUGGAAAUACUUGUCCGGGGAAUGGAUGACUCUAGAUGUAUUUUAAUUCUAGAUACAUCCAUUUAUAUUCAUUUCUUGGACAAAUAUUUUCGGACGGAGGGAGUAUAGUAUACAGCGCAGCUUUUGAAAAUAAAUGUUUGCAAAAGUGUUGCCGAGAAGCAACUUACACGGCCCCUUUCGGACACUCUGGAUAGUCUAUACUAGUAUAUAUAAUGAAGAUGUAUCCGUGAUGCUUGUGACAUUCCCAUAUUUGUCCGGUGAUGUUUGCAUAGACUAACGUGGACAGAAUCUUCAAAUAUGGCAAAGCUAAUUAAUGCACGUGUCAUCGACUCAACCCUCUGUUGCUUAUCUGUCAUGCCUCUCUUACUAGUUUUGUUGAUUUGUGCAGCUUUGAAGAUGGAUUAAUGAAAGACGGCGGCAAUGACCUAUGAGUGCGUCGGACCGAUUUGUGCCCCAGACCCAGUAUGUGGCUUGGUCGGGGCCUCCGGCUUUAGAUGUUAGGCUAGGUAAGAAGUCUGGGUAUUCGACUCACACUUUUUGCACCCCUUUAUCAAUGGAUACGAGUAGUGACAGAUGUUGUCAAGAUGGUGGCUUCACACGUAUUGAUGUAUUACUUUGUAAGGUCUUUGUGAAUAAUUAAUAAAGUGGCUGCAUGCAUCUUUGAGAUGCCGAGGCCGGGGGUCAUCCUCCUUUUUUU